This 1401-nucleotide ribosomal RNA is filed under the name uncultured fungus. Its description in RNAcentral is "eukaryotic LSU rRNA". The stretch from base 770 to 1401 matches the Rfam family "Eukaryotic large subunit ribosomal RNA", at positions 1 to 649 of the family's 3401-position model. Lineage: Eukaryota; Fungi. The record is from RNAcentral.
AAGUCGUAACAAGGUUUCCUUCUCGGUUAAAGCUUUAACCUGCUGAAGCCUGACACAGCGACUAUAAAUCAAUUGUGGAGUCUUGACUUUGGGCAAGACAAUGCCGCUGAAAUGCUGUCAUCAACUGUUGUUGUACCAGCAGCCAGAUCCGUCUUGAGUGACCACUGGCCCACAGAUCAAGGUGCGGUGGUUUCGGUUGAUCUCUCAACGAAACUUUGAUAUGACCGGUCCCAACCGUGAUGGUUGAGAGUACACGUUCCGUAGGUGAACCUGCGGAAGGAUCAUUACCGAGUCAGGGUCUUUCAGGCCCGAAACUCCAACCCUAUGUUUAUCUACCAUGUUGCUUUGGCGGGCCCGUCUUAACCGACCGUGGGAGGCUCGUCCUCUCGCCAGUGCCCGUGAGUAGCCCCCUUAAAUUCGUCAUAAUAGUGAUGUCUGAGUCUAAAUUUAAUCGUUAAAACUUUCAACAACGGAUCUCUUGGUUCUGGCAUCGAUGAAGAACGCAGCGAAAUGCGAUAAGUAUUGCGAAUUGCAGAAUUCAGUGAGUCAUCGAAUUUUUGAACGCACAUUGCGCCCUUUGGUAUUCCGAAGGGCAUGCCUGUUCGAGCGUCAUUAUCAACCCUCAAGCCUGGCUUGUCAUUGGACCUCGUCGUUGAAGACGGGCCCGAAAGAUAACGACGGAGUCGUGUCCGACCCUAGAUGCAAUGAGCUUUUUAGCACGCAUCAUGGUGGUCGGCCGGCCUGGUCUUAACCCUUUAUUUCUCAAGGUUGACCUCGGAUCAGGUAGGAAUACCCGCUGAACUUAAGCAUAUCAUUAAGCGGAGGAAAAGAAACCAACAGGGAUUACCUCAGUAACGGCGAGUGAAGCGGUAACAGCUCAAAUUUGAAAUCUGGCCUUCACGGGUCCGAGUUGUAAUUUGUAGAGGAUGUUUCGGGCAAGGUGGCGGUUUAAAUUUCUUGGAACAGAAUGUCAUAGAGGGUGAGAAUCCCGUCUUGAACCGUCGUCCGCGUCCAUGUGAAACUCCUUCGACGAGUCGAGUUGUUUGGGAAUGCAGCUCAAAAUGGGUGGUAAAUUUCAUCUAAAGCUAAAUAUUGGCCAGAGACCGAUAGCGCACAAGUAGAGUGAUCGAAAGAUGAAAAGCACUUUGAAAAGAGAGUUAAACAGUAUGUGAAAUUGUUGAAAGGGAAGCGCUUGCAACCAGACUUGUGUGUAACGGUUCCCCCAGUCUUUUGACUGGACUAUUCCGUUAUAUCCAGGCCAGCAUCGGUUUGGGUGGUUGGUUAAAGAUCCUGGGAAUGUAUCUACCUUCGGGUCGACUUAUAGCCCAGGAUGCAAUGCAGCCCACCCGGACCGAGGCACGCGCACCUGCUCGGAUGCUGGCGUAAUGGUUGUAAGCGACC